RNAcentral lists this ribosomal RNA (403 nucleotides) under uncultured bacterium. RNAcentral describes it as "bacterial SSU rRNA". It matches the Rfam family "Bacterial small subunit ribosomal RNA", at positions 29 to 416 of the family's 1533-position model. The record is from RNAcentral.
AACUAACGCUGGCGGCGCGUCUUAAACAUGCAAGUGGAACGGUAAGGCUUCCUUCGGGAAGUACACGAGUCGCGAACGGGUGAGUAACACGUGGGUAAUCUGCCCUGAAGUUGGGGAUACGCUCGGGAAACCGAGAAUAAUACCGGAUGUGGCAAUUUGAUCACAAGGUCGAAUUGCUAAAGCUGGGGAUCGCAAGACCCAGCGCUUCAGGAUGAGCCCGCGGCCAAUUAGUUUGUUGGUGAGGUAAUGGCUCACCAAGACUACGAUUGGUAGCCGGCCUGAGAGGGUGAACGGCCACACUGGGACUGAGACACGGCCCAGACACCUACGGGUGGCUGCAGUCGAGAAUCUUUGUCAAUGGACGAAAGUCUGAACAAGCGACGCCGCGUGCGGGAUGAAGGCC